This 403-nucleotide ribosomal RNA is filed under the name uncultured Lachnospiraceae bacterium. Its description in RNAcentral is "bacterial SSU rRNA". It matches the Rfam family "Bacterial small subunit ribosomal RNA", at positions 355 to 774 of the family's 1533-position model. The record is from RNAcentral. Lineage: Bacteria; Bacillati; Bacillota; Clostridia; Lachnospirales; Lachnospiraceae.
UGGGGAAUAUUGCACAAUGGGGGAAACCCUGAUGCAGCAACGCCGCGUGAGUGAAGAAGUAUUUCGGUAUGUAAAGCUCUAUCAGCAGGGAAGAAGAAAGACGGUACCUGACUAAGAAGCCCCGGCUAACUACGUGCCAGCAGCCGCGGUAAUACGUAGGGGGCAAGCGUUAUCCGGAUUUACUGGGUGUAAAGGGAGCGUAGACGGCUGUGCAAGUCUGAAGUGAAAGCCCGUGGCUCAACCGCGGAACUGCUUUGGAAACUGUAUAGCUUGAGUACUGGAGAGGCAGGCGGAAUUCCUAGUGUAGCGGUGAAAUGCGUAGAUAUUAGGAGGAACACCAGUGGCGAAGGCGGCCUGCUGGACAGAAACUGACGUUGAGGCUCGAAAGCGUGGGGAGCAAACA